UGGUGCUGUCACAGUGGUGGAGGCGCCCGUUCGCCUUCCACGGCGACUCGGCCCUCCCUGGCAACGAAGUGAAUGAAAGGAAUUUUACUAUAAUUAUUCAACUGAUUGGACUCCUGAAUUACGUGCCAAAAAUAUAAGACAAGGAAAAAUGCAACGCCCUGUCGUGGCUUUAUGGUCGUUGAUUUAAACAACGCCCCCAAACAAGAGUAUCUCAGAUUGUCGGAUUGUUUGGCACCCUGAAGUUUCUACCGUGGUAAGAAUUUAUGACAGGAAACAUGAAGUGCUAUGGUUGGCCAGGCCGUGGCCAUGUGCCUGCCCUCAAGGCCAAGAGGACAGGGUCUAUCAAUAAAAGAGGGGAAGCUUGCUGGACAAAAUAAUAAUAACACAAGCAACCGAGGACCUCUUUUCCAAGUAGUGAAGAUGAGACCCAGCUUCCUACUCUCCCCAAAAUCAAAGAAUCCCAUUAAAGGUAUGCUAUGCCAAUAGGCUUAUAUUUUGAAAUACUGUGUGAUCAAACGUUCAUGGAUUGUUUUAUUUUGCAUGUAUGAUACUGCCAUCUCUUCUGAUCUGGUGUGGUCAAGAACACAGACACUGAAGUCAAAGACAUCUGGAUUCAAAAGUAGCUCCACCACUUGUGAAUACAAAUAAUAUCACUGUUAUUGAUCACUGUGUAUGAAGCAAGGCACUUUACGUAUAUUGUCUACUACUGCUUCUCACACAAACCCUGAGAAGCACAUGUACUGCCAGUUUUCAGAUGUAGUGCCUGAAGGACAGGACAGUUAAUUAACUUGCCCAAAGAUAGCACUGGAGCAGAAGCAGCUCAGUUCUUAACCCUAGAGAGUUGAUCACUGGGAUAAAUUGCUUUUCCAUGUGUUUCCUGGCUUUGAAAACACCUUCAGAAAUUUUAGCUUACAAUAGCUUGCAGUAUAGUUUUAGCAAGAAAUCUGUGACUUUUAACAAAUUACCUGUCUUUUCCGACCCUCACAUUCUUUAUCUGUAAGCUUAUGAAGUUAGGACUAGAAGAUUUCUUGUAUUCAUUCCAGUGUGACAAUGUGAGAGUCUAUUAUUCUUUCCACUAUUAUUAAAUUUUACUAUGUUAACAGUAGAUGGUGCUAUUGAGUACUAGCUCCAAAAGCCAAUAAAAAACAGGUUCUAAUUCCUCAGUACAUGGAUCUCACGUAGGAGAUACUUACCUGUCCAUCAGAGUAUUGGAGGUAAGGGGAUGCCGAGAAAAUAUGUACAUUAAAAGUUUCUUAAGCUUAUGUGGAAUCUAAAGAAUAUGAAUAUAUAUACAAAACAGAAACAGACACAGACAAAACGGCUAUCAGAGGCAGAGGGAGGGACAAAUUAGGGCAUGGGACUAACAUACAAACUACUGUACAUAAAACAGAUAAGCAACAAAGAUUUACUGUAUAGCAUAGAGUUAAACGCAAUAUCUUGUAAUAACCUAUAGUGGAAUAUAAUCUGCAAAAAUCCUGAAUCACUAUGCUGUACACCUGAAACUAACACAAUAUUGUAAAUCAACUAUACUUUACUUUUUAAAAAAGUUUCUUAAGCUCAAAGACUUUAUGCUAUGCUACUUUAGAACAUGAAAAAAAGAAAGGUUUAAAUAUAUAAUCCACAUAUUGACCCACAUUUUUUAUUUUAUUUACUGUAGUGGAUGUUUUAAGUAGACUUAUUAUCAUUAAAAUUCUGACUAAAACAGAUGGCAUCCAUUUCCUGAUUAUUUUAAGGAUGAAUCAGAGCCACAAUUUUGCUCAUAAUUCUAUUUUAUACUUAUUAUAUGUAUUAAAGCCCCACA
Hippopotamus amphibius kiboko is the source of this 1801-nucleotide long non-coding RNA. RefSeq lists it as uncharacterized. The transcript has 3 exons. The record is from RefSeq and is a predicted model, not a curated record. NCBI's taxonomy places the organism in Eukaryota, Metazoa, Chordata, Mammalia, Artiodactyla, Hippopotamidae.